UACGUAGGGGGCAAGCGUUAUCCGGAUUUACUGGGUGUAAAGGGAGCGUAGACGGCAUGGCAAGUCAGAUGUGAAAGCCCGGGGCUCAACCCCGGGACUGCAUUUGAAACUGUCAGGCUGGAGUGCAGGAGAGGUAAGUGGAAUUCCUAGUGUAGCGGUGAAAUGCGUAGAUAUUAGGAGGAACACCAGUGGCGAAGGCGGCUUACUGGACUGUAACUGACGUUGAGGCUCGAAAGCGUGGGGAGCAAAUAGG
Molecule: ribosomal RNA, 253 nt
Filed under: uncultured bacterium
Lineage: Bacteria
Description: partial 16S ribosomal RNA
Rfam family: Bacterial small subunit ribosomal RNA
Source: RNAcentral